GCGGGUGUAGUUUAGUGGCAGAACUUUUGCUUCCCAAGCAAAAAGUACGGGUUCGAUUCCCGUCACCCGCUCCA
Molecule: transfer RNA, 74 nt
Filed under: Azonexus sp.
Lineage: Bacteria; Pseudomonadati; Pseudomonadota; Betaproteobacteria; Rhodocyclales; Azonexaceae
Description: tRNA-Gly
Rfam family: tRNA
About the family: Transfer RNA (tRNA) molecules are approximately 80 nucleotides in length. Their secondary structure includes four short double-helical elements and three loops (D, anti-codon, and T loops). Further hydrogen bonds mediate the characteristic L-shaped molecular structure. tRNAs have two regions of fundamental functional importance: the anti-codon, which is responsible for specific mRNA codon recognition, and the 3' end, to which the tRNAs corresponding amino acid is attached (by aminoacyl-tRNA synthetases). tRNAs cope with the degeneracy of the genetic code in two manners: having more than one tRNA (with a specific anti-codon) for a particular amino acid; and 'wobble' base-pairing, i.e. permitting non-standard base-pairing at the 3rd anti-codon position.
Source: RNAcentral